AAUCAACGUUGGCGGCGCGCUUAACACAUAGCAAGUCGAACGAGAAAGGGGAGCAAUCCCCAAGUAAAGUGGCGUCCGGGUGAGUAACACGUGGAUAAUCUACCUUCUGGUGGGGAAUAACCCUGGGAAACCGGGGCUAAUACCGCAUAAGUCCGAGAGGAGAAAGGCGCAAGUCGCCGGAAGAGGAGUCCGCGGUCGAUUAGCUAGUUGGUAGGGUAAAGGCCUACCAAGGCAUUGAUCGAUAGCCGGCCUGAGAGGGCACACGGCCACACUGGCACUGAAACACGGGCCAGACUCCUACGGGAGGCAGCAGUGGGGGAAUCUUGCACAAUGGGGGAAACCCUGAUGCAGCGACGCCGCGUGAGUGAUGAAGCCCUUGGGGUGUAAAGCUCUUCGACAGGGACGAUAAUGACGGUACCUGGAGAAGAAGACUGCGGGCUAACUACGUGCCAGCAGCCGCGGUAAU
This 466-nucleotide ribosomal RNA is filed under the name uncultured bacterium. RNAcentral describes it as "bacterial SSU rRNA". It matches the Rfam family "Bacterial small subunit ribosomal RNA", at positions 32 to 524 of the family's 1533-position model. The record is from RNAcentral.